GACGAACGCUGGCGGCGUGCUUAACACAUGCAAGUCGAACGAAGUGGCGAACGGGUGAGUAACGCGUAAUCAACCUGCCCUUCAGAGGGGGACAACAGUUGGAAACGACUGCUAAUACCGCAUACUGAAGGAGGGGAUUGCGUGUGCUUCGGUAGGUGGAGGGGUAACGGCCCACCAAGGCGAUGAUCCGUCGCCGGGCUGGGAGGAUGAACGGGCAAAUGUGGACUUGGGCACGGCCCAAACUCCUACGGGAGGCAGCAGGGGGGAAUUUUCCGCAAUGGACGAAAGUCUGACGGAGCAACUCCGCGGGAGGGAUGACGGCUUUCGGGUUGUAAAGCUCUGUUAAUCGGGAAGCGGUACCGGAAUAGAAAGCCACGGCUAACUACGUGCCAGCAGCCGCGGUAAUAC
RNAcentral lists this ribosomal RNA (408 nucleotides) under uncultured bacterium. RNAcentral's name for it is "partial 16S ribosomal RNA". It matches the Rfam family "Bacterial small subunit ribosomal RNA", at positions 28 to 526 of the family's 1533-position model. The record is from RNAcentral.